AUCAGUGGCGAACGGGUGAGUAACACGUGAGCAAUCUGCCCCUGACUCUGGGAUAAGCGCUGGAAACGGCGUCUAAUACCGGAUACGAGCUGCGAAGGCAUCUUCAGCAGUUGGAAAGAAUUUCGGUCAGGGAUGAGCUCGCGGCCUAUCAGCUUGUUGGUGAGGUAACGGCUCACCAAGGCGUCGACGGGUAGCCGGCCUGAGAGGGUGACCGGCCACACUGGGACUGAGACACGGCCCAGACUCCUACGGGAGGCAGCAGUGGGGAAUAUUGCACAAUGGGCGCAAGCCUGAUGCAGCAACGCCGCGUGAGGGACGACGGCCUUCGGGUUGUAAACCUCUUUUAGCAGGGAAGAAGCGAAAGUGACGGUACCUGCAGAAAAAGCACCGGCUAACUACGUGCCAGCAGCCGCGGUAAUACGUAGGGUGCAAGCGUUAUCCGGAAUUAUUGGGCGUAAAGAGCUCGUAGGCGGUUUGUCGCGUCUGCUGUGAAAACCCGAGGCUCAACCUCGGGCCUGCAGUGGGUACGGGCAGACUAGAGUGCGGUAGGGGAGAUUGGAAUUCCUGGUGUAGCGGUGGAAUGCGCAGAUAUCAGGAGGAACACCGAUGGCGAAGGCAGAUCUCUGGGCCGUAACUGACGC
Molecule: ribosomal RNA, 641 nt
Filed under: Microbacterium sp. I14A-00862
Lineage: Bacteria; Bacillati; Actinomycetota; Actinomycetes; Micrococcales; Microbacteriaceae
Description: bacterial SSU rRNA
Rfam family: Bacterial small subunit ribosomal RNA
Source: RNAcentral